This 259-nucleotide ribosomal RNA is filed under the name uncultured bacterium. Its description in RNAcentral is "partial 16S ribosomal RNA". It matches the Rfam family "Bacterial small subunit ribosomal RNA", at positions 96 to 353 of the family's 1533-position model. The record is from RNAcentral.
UGGCGGACGGGUGAGUAACGCGUGGGUAACCUGCCCUGUACAGGGGGAUAACAGUCAGAAAUGACUGCUAAUACCGCAUAAGACCACAGCACCGCAUGGUGCAGGGGUAAAAACUCCGGUGGUACAGGAUGGACCCGCGUCUGAUUAGCUGGUUGGUGAGGUAACGGCUCACCAAGGCGACGAUCAGUAGCCGGCCUGAGAGAGUGAACGGCCACAUUGGGACUGAGACACGGCCCAAACUCCUACGGGAGGCAGCAUG